Molecule: transfer RNA, 738 nt
Filed under: uncultured Flavobacteriaceae bacterium
Lineage: Bacteria; Pseudomonadati; Bacteroidota; Flavobacteriia; Flavobacteriales; Flavobacteriaceae
Description: 16S-23S ribosomal RNA intergenic spacer
Rfam family: tRNA (bases 191-264)
Source: RNAcentral
AGAGAUUUGUCCCUUAUAGGACAAUCGCAAUUACGACAUAAGGAGCCUUUUUACAAAUAAGAAGUAAUGAGCUUCUUUUGGUCUUAAUUCCUGUCAAUUUAAUAAUAUUAAAGAGAAGCAAGAUAAAAGAGACAAGAAACAAGACAUUGGUCUUGACUCUUGGUUCAAAAAGUCUUGAGUCUUAAGAAACAGUCUCAUAGCUCAGCUGGUUAGAGCGCUACACUGAUAAUGUAGAGGUCGGCAGUUCGAGUCUGCCUGAGACUACUGAAAGUAGGCGAAGGAAGAUGAGAAGUUUAUCCUGAGUAAAGCACGGUAGUGCUGCAUCGAAGGGAGUCUGCCUGAGACUACGGAUAAAAAGUAUACUGUAUAUUGUAAAAAGUAUACUGUAUAGAAGUUCAUUAAAAUACUAAAGGAAAUUUUAGGGGUUGAGUAGCCGUUAUAAGCACUGUUAACUGGUAACUGUUAACUGAUCACUAAAAGACGGGGGAUUAGCUCAGCUGGCUAGAGCGCCUGCCUUGCACGCAGGAGGUCAUCGGUUCGACUCCGAUAUUCUCCACCACAGCCCCCCGACCCCCAAAGGGGGAGGGUUUAAAGCUUAGUUCCCCCUUUGGGGGCUAGGGGGCCGAAAGUUCAUUGACAUAUUGAAGAAUAAGAAUACGAGAAACAUAAAAAUUUCUAUGAUAGCAAUAUUAUAGAUAGAGCAAAUUAUAUAAUUAAGAGCGUAUUAGGUAAAAGCAC